GACGAACGCUGGCGGCGUGCUUAACACAUGCAAGUCGAACGCUGAAGACCUGGCUUUUGUUGGGUUGGAUGAGUGGCGAACGGGUGCGUAACACGUGAGUAACCUGCCCUCUUCUUUGGGAUAACGCCCGGAAACGGGUGCUAAUACUGGAUAUUCACUGAUCUUCGCAUGGGGGUUGGUGGAAAGGUUUGUUCUGGUGGGGGAUGGGCUCGCGGCCUAUCAGCUUGUUGGUGGGGUGAUGGCCUACCAAGGCUUUGACGGGUAGCCGGCCUGAGAGGGUGACCGGUCACAUUGGGACUGAGAUACGGCCCAGACUCCUACGGGAGGCAGCAGUGGGGAAUAUUGCACAAUGGGCGAAAGCCUGAUGCAGCGGCGCCGCGUGAGGGAUGGAGGCCUUCGGGUUGUAAACCUCUUUCGCUCAUGGUCAAGCCGCAACUGUGGGUUGUGGUGAGGGUAGUGGGUAAAGAAGCGCCGGCUAACUACGUG
RNAcentral lists this ribosomal RNA (486 nucleotides) under uncultured bacterium. RNAcentral's name for it is "partial 16S ribosomal RNA". It matches the Rfam family "Bacterial small subunit ribosomal RNA", at positions 28 to 507 of the family's 1533-position model. The record is from RNAcentral.